RNAcentral lists this ribosomal RNA (483 nucleotides) under Triticum aestivum (bread wheat). RNAcentral describes it as "partial small subunit ribosomal RNA". Lineage: Eukaryota; Viridiplantae; Streptophyta; Magnoliopsida; Poales; Poaceae. The record is from RNAcentral.
AUGUGGAUUCAGCCACCAACAAAUUACCACAAACUCAAUGUGGACGCGGCCGUGUCACGCUCGGGCACGUUUGGCGCUGUUGGUGUGGUUUGCAGGGAUGAGAGGGGUUUGUUCAUGGGAGCGUCGGCUCUCGUUUUCAGGGGACUGCACAACCCACAGGUGCUAGAAGCACUAGCUGUUCAGGAGGCAUUAGCACUUUCAGAAGAUCUCUAUAUCAACCAUUUGCUGGUGGCCUCUGAUUGCAAGGUGGUGGUAGAUGCAAUCAGGCAGGGAAGCUCAGCAGAUUUUAGAGCCAUUGUCGAAGAAAUCAAGGCUAGAGCAACAAACUUUACUUCAUGUUCGUUUACUCAUGAGUAUAGGACCUCCAAUACGGAGGCCCAUAAUCUCGCAAAGCAUGCAUUAUCUUUAGGGUUUGGCCGACACACCUGGCUAGGCCAACCCGGCGAUCUUCUUUUUGUACCUAUGAACAUUAUGAUUCAGUAA